CGUACCCCAAACCGACACAGGUGGUCAGGUAGAGAAUACCAAGGCGCUUGAGAGAACUCGGGUGAAGGAACUAGGCAAAAUGGCACCGUAACUUCGGGAGAAGGUGCGCCGCUGUUGGUGAUCGGACUUGCUCCGUAAGCUGACGGCGGUCGAAGAUACCAGGUGGCUGCGACUGUUUAGUAAAAACACAGCACUCUGCAAACGCGCAAGCGGACGUAUAGGGUGUGACGCCUGCCCGGUGCCGGAAG
Molecule: ribosomal RNA, 248 nt
Filed under: Symbiodinium sp. clade D
Lineage: Eukaryota; Dinophyceae; Suessiales; Symbiodiniaceae
Description: partial Bacterial large subunit ribosomal RNA
Rfam family: Bacterial large subunit ribosomal RNA
Source: RNAcentral